RNAcentral lists this ribosomal RNA (224 nucleotides) under uncultured bacterium. RNAcentral's name for it is "partial 16S ribosomal RNA". It matches the Rfam family "Bacterial small subunit ribosomal RNA", at positions 328 to 539 of the family's 1533-position model. The record is from RNAcentral.
ACGCUCGACACCUACGGGGGGCAGCAGUAGGGAAUCUUCCACAAUGGGCGCAAGCCUGAUGGAGCAACACCGCGUGAGUGAAGAAGGGUUUCGGCUCGUAAAGCUCUGUUGUUGGAAGAAGAACGUGCGUGAGAGUAACUGUUCACGCAGUGACGGUAUCCAACCAGAAAGUCACGGCUAACUACGUGCCGGCAGCCGCGGUAAUCUGAGCGGGCUGGCAAGGC